RNAcentral lists this ribosomal RNA (253 nucleotides) under uncultured bacterium. Its description in RNAcentral is "partial 16S ribosomal RNA". It matches the Rfam family "Bacterial small subunit ribosomal RNA", at positions 524 to 776 of the family's 1533-position model. The record is from RNAcentral.
UACAGAGGGUGCAAGCGUUAAUCGGAUUUACUGGGCGUAAAGCGUGCGCAGGUGGUUUCGUAAGUCGGAUGUGAAAGCCCCGGGCUCAACCUGGGAACUGCGUUCGAUACUGCGAGACUAGAGUUUGGUAGAGGGUGGCGGAAUUCCCGGUGUAGCGGUGAAAUGCGUAGAUAUCGGGAGGAACAUCAAUGGCGAAGGCAGCCACCUGGGCCUGAACUGACACUGAGGCACGAAAGCGUGGGUAGCAAACAGG